GAAAUGCGAUAAGUAGUGUGAAUUGCAGAAUUCAGUGAAUCAUCGAAUCUUUGAACGCACAUUGCGCCCCUUGGUAUUCCAUGGGGCAUGCCUGUUCGAGCGUCAUUUGUACCCUCAAGCUCUGCUUGGUGUUGUGUGUUUGUCCCCGUCUCCGCGCGUGGACUCGCCCCAAAGUGAUUGGCAGCCGGCGUACUGGUCCCGGAGCGCAGCACAUGUCGCGCAAACGAGUGCCUUGGUACGGCGGCGUCCAUAAGCCCCUCUCUCACGCUCUUGACCUCGGAUCAGGUAGGGAUACCCGCUGAACUUAAGC
RNAcentral lists this unclassified non-coding RNA (310 nucleotides) under plant metagenome. RNAcentral describes it as "partial contains 5.8S ribosomal RNA, internal transcribed spacer 2, and large subunit ribosomal RNA". The stretch from base 1 to 105 matches the Rfam family "5.8S ribosomal RNA", at positions 50 to 154 of the family's 154-position model. The record is from RNAcentral.